GAUGAACGCUGGCGGCGUGCUUAACACAUGCAAGUCGAACGGAAAGGCUCUUCCUUGCUGGGGUGCUCGAGUGGCGAACGGGUGAGUAACACGUGGGUAAUCUGCCCUGCACUUCGGGAUAAGUUCGGGAAACUGGGUCUAAUACCGGAUAGGACGUUGUUCUGCAUGCUAUUGUGGAGAGUGUUUCGGUGUGGGAUGAACUAGUGGCCUAUCAGCUUGUUGGUGGGGUAGUGGCUUACCAAGGCUUCUACGGGUAGCCGGCCUGAGAGGGUGAACGGCCACAUUGGGAAUGAGAGACGGCCCAGACUCCUACGGGAGGCAGCAGUGGGGAAUAGUGCAAAAUGGGCGGAAGCCUGAUGCAGCAACGCCGCGUGCGGGAUGACGGCCUUCGGGUUGUAAACCGCUUUCGCCUGUGACGAAGCGUGAGUGACGGUAAUGGGUAAAGAAGCACCGGCUAACUACGUG
Molecule: ribosomal RNA, 465 nt
Filed under: uncultured bacterium
Lineage: Bacteria
Description: partial 16S ribosomal RNA
Rfam family: Bacterial small subunit ribosomal RNA
Source: RNAcentral